AUGGACCGGGUGCUCGCGCUCGACGCCGCCUACCCGCUGCCGCUGCUCCCUAGCAUGCUCGAAAAGUUUCCCAAGGCCAUCGAGCCCACGCGCUGGUUGCCGCGCUGUCGCCCCGCGCAGCCCAAGAACUCAAGGACAAGGAGCUUCGGGCGUCGUGCAGUCACAUCCGGCAACGGCUGGACCCAAGAUCUUGAGGACGAGAUGCGAGGCAUCCUCAGGGUCAUUAAGGCCAAGGAUGAGCAGGAGUUCCUGACGGUGGGCAAGCUGGUGCUCAACCUAAACAGGGGCCUCGCCGUAGCCGGUCCGGUGCUGGCCGGCACGGCGGCGUUCGCCAUAGUGUUCAUUGGCUCCGGCGAGGACGGGACGUGGGCGUCGGGCGCGGCCGUCCUUGGCGGGGCGCUGGCGGCGGCGGUGAACACGGUGGAGCACGGCGGGCAGAUGGGCAUGCUGUUCGAGCUGCUCCGCAACUGCGCCGGGUUCUACCGCAAGAUCCAGGAGGACAUCGAGGCCAACCUCGCCGAGCCCGACGUGGAGCGGAGGGAGCGCGGCGAGGUGUUUGCGACCAAGGUGGCGCUCAAGCUCGGGCGGAGCCUGUCGGACCUGAAGCAGUUCAGGAAGAUGGCCUCGCCGUCCGUUCAAGACGAGGACAUCAAGGAAUUUGCCGGGAAACUCUUCUAA
This 678-nucleotide ribosomal RNA is filed under the name Triticum aestivum (bread wheat). RNAcentral's name for it is "partial small subunit ribosomal RNA". The record is from RNAcentral. Lineage: Eukaryota; Viridiplantae; Streptophyta; Magnoliopsida; Poales; Poaceae.